GACGAACGCUGGCGGCGUGCUUAACACAUGCAAGUCGAACGAUGAACCCGGAGCUUGCUCCGGUGGAUUAGUGGCGAACGGGUGAGUAACACGUGAGUAACCUGCCCUUGACUCUGGGAUAACUGCGGGAAACUGUAGCUAAUACCGGAUACGACCCUUCGCGUCCUCGCCUGGGGGUGGAAAGAAGUUCGGUAAAGGAUGGACUCGCGGCAUAUCAGCGAGUUGGUGAGGUAACGGCUCACCAAGGCGACGACGGGUAGCCGGCCUGGGAGGGUGACCGGCCACACUGGGACUGGGAAACGGCCCAGACUCCUACGGGAGGCAGCAGUGGAGAAUAUUGCACAAUGGGCGCAAGCCUGAUGCAGCAACGCCGCGUGAGGGAUGACGGCCUUCGGGUUGUAAACCUCUUUUAGUAGGGAAGAAGCGAAAGUGACGGUACCUGCAGAAAAAGCACCGGCUAACUACGUGCCAGCCGCCGCAGUAA
Molecule: ribosomal RNA, 484 nt
Filed under: uncultured bacterium
Lineage: Bacteria
Description: partial 16S ribosomal RNA
Rfam family: Bacterial small subunit ribosomal RNA
Source: RNAcentral